GGGAGGCAGCAGUAGGGGAUCUUCCGCAAUGGACGAAAGUCUGACGGAGCAACGCCCCGUGAGUGAUGAAGGCUUUCGGGUCGGAAAACUCUGUUGUUAGGGAAGAACAAGUGCUAGUUGAAUAAGCUGGCACCUUGACGGUAUCUAACCAGAAAGCCACGGCUAACUACGUGCCAGCAGCCGCGGUAAUACGUAGGUGGCAAGCGUUAUCCGGAAUUAUUGGGCGUAAAGCGCGCCCAGGUGGUUUCUUAAGUCUGAUGUGAAAGCCCACGGCUCAACCGUGGAGGGUCAUUGGAAACUGGGAGACUUGAGUGCAGAAGAGGAAAGUGGAAUUCCAUGUGUAGCGGUGAGAUGCGUAGAGAUAUGGGGGAACACCAGUGGCGAAGGCGACUUUCUGGUCUGUAACUGACACUGAGGCGCGAAAGCGUGGGGAGCAAACCCGAUUAGAUACCCUGGUAGUCCACGCCGUAAACGAUGAGUGCUAAGUGUUAGAGGGUUUCCGCCCUUUAGUGCUGAAGUUAACGCAUUAAGCACUCGCCCUGGGGAGUACGGCCGCAAGGCUGAAACUCAAAGGAAUUGACGGGGGCCC
RNAcentral lists this ribosomal RNA (589 nucleotides) under Bacillus cereus. RNAcentral's name for it is "bacterial SSU rRNA". It matches the Rfam family "Bacterial small subunit ribosomal RNA", at positions 343 to 922 of the family's 1533-position model. Lineage: Bacteria; Bacillati; Bacillota; Bacilli; Caryophanales; Bacillaceae. The record is from RNAcentral.